This 563-nucleotide small RNA is filed under the name Arabidopsis thaliana (thale cress). RNAcentral's name for it is "ATSL101000". The record is from RNAcentral. Lineage: Eukaryota; Viridiplantae; Streptophyta; Magnoliopsida; Brassicales; Brassicaceae.
UAUUAUUAAUUCAUUAUCAUCAAACUUAUGAUAUUUACGGAUUCCACUUUUUACGGGUUUACGUUUUUGGCGGGAAAAUCUUGGAUUUACGUUUUUGGAGGGAAAAUCACGGGUUUACGUUUUUGGCGGGAAAAUUACGGGUUUACGUUUUUGGCGGGAAAAUUACGGGUUUACGUUUUUGGCGAGAAAAUCUCGGGUUUACGUUUUUGGCAGGAAAAUCACAGGUUUACGUUUUUGGUGGAAAAAUUACGGGUUUACGUUUUUGGCGGGAAAAUUAUAGAUUUACGUUUUUGGCGGGAAAAUCUCGGAUUUACUUUUUUUUGGCGGGAAAAUUACGGGUUUACGUUUUUGGCGGAAAAAUUAUGGAUUUACGUUUUUGGCGGGAAAAUCUUGGGUUUACGUUUUUGGCAGGAAAAUCACGGGUUUACGUUUUUGGCGGGAAAAUCACAGUUUUACGUUUUUGGCGGGAAAAUCACGGGUUUAUGUUUUUUGGUGGAAAAAUUACGAGUUUACUUUUUUUUCAAUUUCAUCCCUUGUAUAUUUAAGAAAUUUGGAAAACUAUU